UACGGAGGGUGCAAGCGUUAAUCGGAAUUACUGGGCGUAAAGCGUGCGUAGGCGGUUCGUUAAGUCUGUUGUGAAAGCCCCGGGCUCAACCUGGGAAUGGCAAUGGAUACUGGCGAGCUAGAGUGUGUCAGAGGAUGGUGGAAUUCCCGGUGUAGCGGUGAAAUGCGUAGAGAUCGGGAGGAACAUCAGCGGCGAAGGCGGCCAUCUGGGACAACACUGACGCUGAGGCACGAAAGCCAGGGGAGCAAACGGG
This 253-nucleotide ribosomal RNA is filed under the name uncultured bacterium. Its description in RNAcentral is "partial 16S ribosomal RNA". It matches the Rfam family "Bacterial small subunit ribosomal RNA", at positions 524 to 776 of the family's 1533-position model. The record is from RNAcentral.